UCGACCUGAGCUCAGGCAAGAUUACCCGCUGAACUUUAAGCAUAUCAAUAAGCGGAGGAAAAAGAAACUAACCAGGAUUCCCCUAGUAACGGCGAGUGAACCGGGAA
RNAcentral lists this ribosomal RNA (107 nucleotides) under Kalenjinia gelatinosa. RNAcentral describes it as "partial 28S ribosomal RNA". It matches the Rfam family "Eukaryotic large subunit ribosomal RNA", at positions 1 to 104 of the family's 3401-position model. Lineage: Eukaryota; Viridiplantae; Chlorophyta; Trebouxiophyceae; Chlorellales; Chlorellaceae. The record is from RNAcentral.